AGGGUUCGAUCCUGGCUCAGGAUGAACGCUGGCGGCGUGCCUAACACAUGCAAGUCGAGCGAAGCGAUUUCAAGGAAGUUUUCGGAUGGAAUUGAGAUUGACUGAGCGGCGGACGGGUGAGUAACGCGUGGGCAACCUGCCUCAUACAGGGGGAUAACAGUUAGAAAUGACUGCUAAUACCGCAUAAGCGCACGGUUUCGCAUGAAACAGUGUGAAAAACUCCGGUGGUAUGAGAUGGACCCGCGUCUGAUUAGCUAGUUGGUGGGGUAAAGGCCUACCAAGGCGACGAUCAGUAGCCGACCUGAGAGGGUGACCGGCCACAUUGGGACUGAGACACGGCCCAA
RNAcentral lists this ribosomal RNA (344 nucleotides) under uncultured bacterium. Its description in RNAcentral is "bacterial SSU rRNA". It matches the Rfam family "Bacterial small subunit ribosomal RNA", at positions 8 to 334 of the family's 1533-position model. The record is from RNAcentral.